This 878-nucleotide ribosomal RNA is filed under the name uncultured bacterium. RNAcentral's name for it is "bacterial SSU rRNA". It matches the Rfam family "Bacterial small subunit ribosomal RNA", at positions 26 to 917 of the family's 1533-position model. The record is from RNAcentral.
AGGACGAACGCUGGCGGCGCGCCUAACACAUGCAAGUCGAACGAGAAAUGAAGAGCUUGCUCUUCAAAUCGAGUGGCGAACGGGUGAGUAACGCGUGAGGAACCUGCCUCAAAGAGGGGGACAACAGUUGGAAACGACUGCUAAUACCGCAUAAGCCCACGGCUCGGCAUCGAGCAGAGGGAAAAGGAGCAAUCCGCUUUGAGAUGGCCUCGCGUCCGAUUAGCUAGUUGGUGAGGUAACGGCCCACCAAGGCGACGAUCGGUAGCCGGACUGAGAGGUUGAACGGCCACAUUGGGACUGAGACACGGCCCAGACUCCUACGGGAGGCAGCAGUGGGGAAUAUUGCACAAUGGGGGAAACCCUGAUGCAGCGACGCCGCGUGGAGGAAGAAGGUCUUCGGAUUGUAAACUCCUGUUGUUGAGGAAGAUAAUGACGGUACUCAACAAGGAAGUGACGGCUAACUACGUGCCAGCAGCCGCGGUAAAACGUAGGUCACAAGCGUUGUCCGGAAUUACUGGGUGUAAAGGGAGCGCAGGCGGGAGAACAAGUUGGAAGUGAAAUCCAUGGGCUCAACCCAUGAACUGCUUUCAAAACUGUUUUUCUUGAGUAGUGCAGAGGUAGGCGGAAUUCCCGGUGUAGCGGUGGAAUGCGUAGAUAUCGGGAGGAACACCAGUGGCGAAGGCGGCCUACUGGGCACCAACUGACGCUGAGGCUCGAAAGUGUGGGUAGCAAACAGGAUUAGAUACCCUGGUAGUCCACACCGUAAACGAUGAUUACUAGGUGUUGGAGGAUUGACCCCUUCAGUGCCGCAGUUAACACAAUAAGUAAUCCACCUGGGGAGUACGACCGCAAGGUUGAAACUCAAAGGAAUUGACGGA